AGAGUUUGAUCAUGGCUCAGAUUGAACGCUGGCGGUAGGCUUUACACAUGCAAGUCGAGCGGUAACAGAUCUAGCUUGCUAGGUGCUGACGAGCGGCGGACGGGUGAGUAACGCGUAGGAAUUUACCUAAUGGCGGGGGAUAGCCCAGAGAAAUUUGGAUUAAUACCGCAUACGCCCUACGGGGGAAGGGAGGGGAUCUUAGGACCUUUCGCUAUUAGAUGAGCCUGCGUGAGAUUAGCUAGUUGGUGGGGUAAAGGCUCACCAAGGCGACGAUCUCUAGCUGGUCUGAGAGGAUGAUCAGCCACACUGGGACUGAGACACGGCCCAGACUCCUACGGGAGGCAGCAGUGGGGAAUAUUGGACAAUGGGGGCAACCCUGAUCCAGCCAUGCCGCGUGUGUGAAGAAGGCCUUCGGGUUGUAAAGCACUUUCAGCGAGGAGGAAAGGUUGGCAAUUAAUACUUGUCAGCUGUGACGUUACUCGCAGAAGAAGGACCGGCUAACUCCGUGCCAGCAGCCGCGGUAAUACGGAGGGUCCGAGCGUUAAUCGGAAUUACUGGGCGUAAAGCGCGCGUAGGCGGCCUGAUAAGUUGGAUGUGAAAGCCCUGGGCUCAACCUAGGAACUGCAUUCAAAACUGUCAGGCUAGAGUAUGGUAGAGGAUAGUGGAAUUUCCGGUGUAGCGGUGAAAUGCGUAGAGAUCGGAAGGAACAUCAGUGGCGAAGGCGGCUUCCUGGAUUAACACUGACACUGAGGCGCGAAAGCGUGGGGAGCAAACGGGAUUAGAUACCCCGGUAGUCCACGCAGUAAACGAUGUCUAUUAGAAGUUUGUGGCUAUAUGCCGUGGGUUUCAAAGCUAACGCAUUAAAUAGACCGCCUGGGGAGUACGGCCGCAAGGUUAAAACUCAAAUGAAUUGACGGGGGCCCGCACAAGCGGUGGAGCAUGUGGUUUAAUUCGAUACAACGCGAAGAACCUUACCUGGUCUUGACAUCCUACGAACUUACUAGAGAUAGUUUGGUGCCUUCGGGAACGUAGUGACAGGUGCUGCAUGGCUGUCGUCAGCUCGUGUUGUGAAAUGUUGGGUUAAGUCCCGCAACGAGCGCAACCCUUAUCCUUAUUUGCCAGCACGUAAUGGUGGGAACUCUAGGGAGACUGCCGGUGACAAACCGGAGGAAGGUGGGGACGACGUCAAGUCAUCAUGGCCCUUACGGGAUGGGCUACACACGUGCUACAAUGGCAGGUACAGAGGGCAGCGAAGCCGCGAUGGUAUGCGAAUCUCAUAAAGUUUGUCGUAGUCCGGAUCGGAGUCUGCAACUCGACUCCGUGAAGUUGGAAUCGCUAGUAAUCGUGGAUCAGAAUGCCACGGUGAAUACGUUCCCGGGCCUUGUACACACCGCCCGUCACACCAUGGGAGUGGGAUGCAAAAGAAGUGGCUAGUUUAACCCUUCGGGGAGGACGGUCACUACUUUGUGUUUCAUGACUGGGGUGAAGUCGUAACAAGGUA
This 1501-nucleotide ribosomal RNA is filed under the name uncultured prokaryote. RNAcentral's name for it is "partial 16S ribosomal RNA". It matches the Rfam family "Bacterial small subunit ribosomal RNA". The record is from RNAcentral.